This 253-nucleotide ribosomal RNA is filed under the name uncultured bacterium. RNAcentral's name for it is "partial 16S ribosomal RNA". It matches the Rfam family "Bacterial small subunit ribosomal RNA", at positions 524 to 776 of the family's 1533-position model. The record is from RNAcentral.
UACAGAGGGGGCAAGCGUUAUUCGGAAUUAUUGGGCGUAAAGGGCGCGUAGGCGGUGAUUCAAGUUGGAUGUGUAAUCCCCGGGCUCAACCUGGGAACUGUAUCCAAGACUGGAUUGCUAGGGUGCUGGAGAGGGUGGUGGAAUUCCCCGUGUAGCGGUGAAAUGCGUAGAGAUGAGGAGGAACACCAGUGGCGAAGGCGGCCACCUGGACAGUAACUGACGCUGAGGCGCGAAAGUGUGGGUAGCAAACAGG